Molecule: ribosomal RNA, 253 nt
Filed under: uncultured bacterium
Lineage: Bacteria
Description: partial 16S ribosomal RNA
Rfam family: Bacterial small subunit ribosomal RNA
Source: RNAcentral
UACGAAGGUGGCAAGCGUUGUUCGGAUUUACUGGGCGUACAGGGAGCGUAGGCGGUUGGGUAAGCCCUCCGUGAAAUCUCCAGGCUUAACCUGGAAAGUGCAGAGGGGACUGCUCGGCUAGAGGAUGGGAGAGGAGCGCGGAAUUCCCGGUGUAGCGGUGAAAUGCGUAGAGAUCGGGAGGAAGGCCGGUGGCGAAGGAGGCGCUCUGGAACAUUUAUGACCAUGAGGCUCGAAAGCGUGGGGAGCAAACAGG